GGCAAUUUUGUAUGAAAAUAUGACUCUUUGCGUUGAACUGUACACCUAAAUACCAUCAACGACCCCAGAGCAUAUUGUCCUUUGGCGCUGACGUUACCGCUGUGCGCGCGCCACUGCGUCUCCUCGCGGGCUUUCCGCGCUGGGCGGGUCUGGAGCGGUUUCACGUUUCCAUGGCAACCAAGACGCUCCUGUCAAUCAAGGCGCAAGCACAAAAAGUCAAGUUCAGCAUCGAGAAACCACAAUGAAUCAGAGAGAGAUGCAGAGGACACAGAUGGACGUCUUUACACCGACCCACAACUCAAAAUGAGUCUGUGUGAACUUGACGAUUUGUCUCCUAAACGGGACCACUGUGACCUUCUGCUAGAUGCCAUUGAUGCUCAACUGGGUCAGCUGCAGGUUCAGUCCUCAAUACAUCAGAUGGUUUCCAAGGAGACUGAUUGCAGUGCUGCUGCUUGUCUCAGGUGGAGUUAUCCUGUGAGCAAAGACACAGGCCUGGGAAGCACCCGCUCAAAUGACACUACCAUGUCUUGUCUUGAUUUGAAACCCCCAACGGUGAUGCAUUUAUCAGAGAAAAGCUGUGACAGUCUGUUUGUGAAAAGGGGAACCAAAAAUAGGUUAAAUAGACAAGCAAAAGGCAAAGAGGACAUGGAGUCUCGGCGGGAGCAGGUCAUCUGGAGACUAGAAAAGCUGCUUGGUGAUGCCUGUAGUGAGGACGGGUUGGCAAGAGAAAUGCCGCCUCCGUCAGACAGUAUCUGCACUGAGGACUUCCACAGAUGCUUUAGAGAAGAGAUGGUGGGACCUGCACUUUCAGAGACUAAUGUGCAUCAACUAGAUAUAGAAGAGGCUGAGGGGGCAGAGGUCACUGACAGUGACAAUGAUCAGAGUGAACAAAAAAGACAUGUGUUUAAUUUUGAGAGAGGAGGAUUAGCAUUGAUGGGAAAAAGCAAUAAAAUAACGAGUGCUCAUUAUUAUGAGUCAGAUAUGCCACAACAGAGAAAGGAACCAGAGAAAUAUCUUUCCUACCACUAUGGCUUAAAAAUAUCUCAUGGUGGUGAAAAAGCUGGAGCUAGCGAGAGAUACAAACUAGCACAGAGGAGUGACGACAAUGCUGGCAGUAAGUACUACCCUGUACAUGUUAAUUAUUCAGGAGACAACACAGGCUUUUUAAACAUUCCUCAAAUUGGACGUCAGUUUUCGCACGAGAAUUAAUGGAUAAAUUAUCCACCUGUCUGCUCAUGUGCAUGUCCAACAUUUGGAUCCACAACUGCCUAUCAGGCUGGUGUGCAAUUUAGCAGGUUAUCCACGAAGAUUAUUCUCAAUAUUUUAAGGCCUUCCUGACAUUCUCCUUCUGCCAGAAUCACUGUUAAUCACCUGGGUCCAUGCAUUAAAAUAUUUUAGUAGAAUUAUCACCUUUUAAAAUGCGCAGAAAAGGCAUAUUCUAAAGUGAUAAUACUAUUUGUUUUCAUUAGUACAAUAGUCCAUGUCACUUAUAUGACCCACAUAGGAUGGAACACCCUCAUCCAGUGUGUAACAAGCCUGGAUGACCACUCUACCAACUACUGUAACAGUGAUGCAUCCAAACAGGAAGAGAGUGAACCUCUAGGUAAAGCAAGUGUUUACUUUUGCUUCAGCAUUAAUAAAAGGUCUAUGUAGCUUUCA
Betta splendens (Siamese fighting fish) is the source of this 1659-nucleotide long non-coding RNA. Ensembl annotates it as trichohyalin-like. The record is from Ensembl. Lineage: Eukaryota; Metazoa; Chordata; Actinopteri; Anabantiformes; Osphronemidae.